Molecule: ribosomal RNA, 433 nt
Filed under: uncultured bacterium
Lineage: Bacteria
Description: partial 16S ribosomal RNA
Rfam family: Bacterial small subunit ribosomal RNA
Source: RNAcentral
AACGAACGCUGGCGGCAUGCCUAACACAUGCAAGUCGAACGAAACCUUCGGGUCUAGUGGCGCACGGGUGCGUAACGCGUGGGAACCUGCCCUUAGGUUCGGAAUAACUCCCCGAAAGGGGUGCUAAUACCGGAUAAUUUCUUCUGACCAAAGAUUUAUCGCCGUUGGAUGGGCCCGCGUUGGAUUAGCUAGUUGGUAGGGUAAAAGCCUACCAAGGCGACGAUCCAUAGCUGGUCUGAGAGGAUGAUCAGCCACACUGGGACUGAGACACGGCCCAGACUCCUACGGGAGGCAGCAGUGGGGAAUAUUGGAAAAUGGGCGAAAGCCUGAUACAGCAAGGCCGCGUGAGUGAUGAAGGCCUUAGGGUUGUAAAGCUCUUUUAACCGGGAUGAUAAUGACAGUACCGGGAGAAUAAGCGCCGGCUAACUACGUG